GCCAGUGUUGCUCAGUGGAGAGUGUUGGCCCAUCCACCAAAGGGUUGUGGGUUCGAUCCCCAGCCACGGUCA
Non-coding RNA from Myotis brandtii (Brandt's bat), 72 nucleotides. The record is from Rfam. Lineage: Eukaryota; Metazoa; Chordata; Mammalia; Chiroptera; Vespertilionidae.